GUGGGGAAUUUUGGACAAUGGGGGGAACCCUGAUCCAGCCAUGCCGCGUGUGUGAAGAAGGCCUUUUGGUUGUAAAGCACUUUAAGCGAGGAGGAGGCUACCGAGAUUAAUACUCUUGGAUAGUGGACGUUACUCGCAGAAUAAGCACCGGCUAACUCUGUGCCAGCAGCCGCGGUAAUACAGAGGGUGCAAGCGUUAAUCGGAUUUACUGGGCGUAAAGCGCGCGUAGGUGGCCAAUUAAGUCAAAUGUGAAAUCCCCGAGCUUAACUUGGGAAUUGCAUUCGAUACUGGUUGGCUAGAGUAUGGGAGAGGAUGGUAGAAUUCCAGGUGUAGCGGUGAAAUGCGUAGAGAUCUGGAGGAAUACCGAUGGCGAAGGCAGCCAUCUGGCCUAAUACUGACACUGAGGUGCGAAAGCAUGGGGAGCAAACAGGAUUAGAUACCCGAGUAGUCC
Molecule: ribosomal RNA, 451 nt
Filed under: uncultured bacterium
Lineage: Bacteria
Description: partial 16S ribosomal RNA
Rfam family: Bacterial small subunit ribosomal RNA
Source: RNAcentral